This 774-nucleotide ribosomal RNA is filed under the name uncultured Neocallimastigales. RNAcentral's name for it is "partial large subunit ribosomal RNA". It matches the Rfam family "Eukaryotic large subunit ribosomal RNA", at positions 23 to 646 of the family's 3401-position model. The record is from RNAcentral. Lineage: Eukaryota; Fungi; Neocallimastigomycota; Neocallimastigomycetes; Neocallimastigales.
AGAGAGAGACAUGCGCGCAUAUCAAUAAGCGGAGGAAAAGAAACUAACAAGGAUUCCCCUAGUAACGGCGAGUGAAGCGGGAAGAGCUCAAAUUUGAAAUCUUAAAGGGUUUCCCUUUACGAAUUGUAGUUUAAAGAAGUGUUUUCUGUUGAGGUUUUGGUAAAAGUUCUUUGGAAUAGGACAUCAUAGAGGGUGAGAAUCCCGUAUUUGACCUUUACUUUCAACUUUGUGAUACACUUUCAAAGAGUCGGAUUGUUUGGGAAUGCAGUCCGAGAUGGGUGGUAAAUUUCAUCUAAAGCUAAAUAUUGGCGAGAGACCGAUAGCGAACAAGUACCGUGAGGGAAAGAUGAAAAGAACUUUGAAAAGAGAGUUAAACAGUACGUGAAAUUGUCAAAAGGGAAGCGUUUGACACCAGUGUUGUUUUUCUGAAAAUCAAUUAAAGAACUGUUUAUGCUAAGUUGUUUAGACUUUAUCAGCUAACUGUUUAGUUUUGAGCUUUUCUUUAAUGCACUUUUCAGUUAACAAGUCAACAUCAAUUUCUUUUGCUGUAAAAAAGCUUGAGGAAGGUGGCUUGAGAUUCGUCUUAAGUGUUUAUAGCCUCUUGCCUAUGCAGUCGGAGAGAUUGAGGUCUGCAGCGUAGAUCCUUCGGGGCUAAAUGCAUUUGUGCUAAGUUAUAGCAUUUUAUAGACAACUUGUUGACUAUGAUUUGUCUUGUAGCUUACUCGCUUAUGUUAUUUUACCUACGCUUAGGAUGUUGACGCAUGAGAUAUACGC